UACGAAGGGGGCUAGCGUUGUUCGGAAUUACUGGGCGUAAAGGGCUCGUAGGCGGCCAACUAAGUCAGACGUGAAAUCCCCAGGCUCAACCUGGGAACUGCGUCUGAUACUGGAUGGCUUGAAUCCGGGAGAGGGAUGCAGAAUUCCAGGUGUAGCGGUGAAAUGCGUAGAUAUCUGGAGGAAUACCGGUGGCGAAGGCAGAUCUCUGGGCCGUAACUGACGCUGAGGAGCGAAAGCGUGGGGAGCGAACAGG
This 253-nucleotide ribosomal RNA is filed under the name uncultured bacterium. Its description in RNAcentral is "partial 16S ribosomal RNA". It matches the Rfam family "Bacterial small subunit ribosomal RNA", at positions 524 to 776 of the family's 1533-position model. The record is from RNAcentral.